AUAUUAUCCAACCAAACUCCACCCCCUCAUCUCAGGGUUAAAUCUACACAUGGUUCACCUACACCUCCCUCAGUCUGGUCUGUCUGGUCUGAGAUCUCCGGAUUGAAAACAGUUUAAUUACACCACAUCGAGACACAUCAACAUUCUAAAGGCCACAACACACACACACACACACACACACACACACACACACACAUGUUGUAAAUAAGUAACUGUUUGGUUAAAAUUAGAAUCUAAAUGAUUAGAAUAAUGUUUCUCUUGCAGGAUUUCCAACAUCCACUCUCAUCAUUACUGUGUCUGUGGUUCUGGUGCUGAUUCUCUUUGCUCUUAUAUUGACUGUCACACUACAGAGAAAGAAGAAGACUCGAGGCUCUGAAACAGUGACACAA
Long non-coding RNA from Clarias gariepinus (North African catfish), 389 nucleotides. RefSeq lists it as uncharacterized. Lineage: Eukaryota; Metazoa; Chordata; Actinopteri; Siluriformes; Clariidae. The transcript has 3 exons. The record is from RefSeq and is a predicted model, not a curated record.